This is a non-coding RNA of Ceratotherium simum simum (southern white rhinoceros), 181 nucleotides long. The record is from RefSeq and is a predicted model, not a curated record. NCBI's taxonomy places the organism in Eukaryota, Metazoa, Chordata, Mammalia, Perissodactyla, Rhinocerotidae.
GUGGAGGCCUAGUAGUUUUGUGGGCUCACUCUUCAUUGAUGAAUUUAAAACUUAAGAGUGGGAAUUUAAAACACGGGAAGAAAAAAAAAUGAAUGGCCCAAUGGUGAGUUAUUGAAAUCAACCAAGGUCUCUAAAAUAAAGGAGCCUCAGUGGGGGGAGGUGGCCUGGCUCUCUGUCUAGU